Molecule: transfer RNA, 65 nt
Filed under: Yunnantettix bannaensis
Lineage: Eukaryota; Metazoa; Arthropoda; Insecta; Orthoptera; Tetrigidae
Description: tRNA-His
Source: RNAcentral
GCUUAAAUAGUUUAAUAAAAACUUUAAUUUGUGGUAUUAAUGAUGCAGCUGUUAUGUUUUAAGUC